AAGAUACCGCCUUUGAAAAGAUAAUAAGAGAAAAAGGGGAAGGAAAGAAGGCACAGGCCAGCAAAAUAUAUACAAUGCUAAUAGAGGCCGAUGGAUGUACAAUACAGGACUUGAAAACUAUGUGGGAAACGGAGUUACAAAUCUCGGAACAAGAAAUGAGAAAUGUGGAGGAAAAUAUUGCACAAAUGGUAUCGCACACCCUGCCAAUUAGCAUACUACUAUAAAGAGGGGAGUAGUCAGUGCUGGCAUGGAUGCCACCAGAAAGGGCACUUUAUGCACAUGAUGUGGGAAUGCGAAUAUGUACAAGAUUUUUGGCAAACUAUACAAAAUGUGUCAAAUCAAAUAUUAGGAAAUGAGUGGGUCAUAACAAAGGAAUUAGCGGUAUUAGGGAAAAGAGAGGAAAUGGGAAAUAAAAGGGAAAUAAAAGAAGCAAUAAUUGAAUGUGCACAAGCAGUAAUAGUAUUAGGGUGGAAAGAUAAAUCAAAAUGGACAAUAAAUAAAUGGUACCAUUAUAUGGUGGAGCAAAUGGAAUUUGAAAUUAUGAAUGUGAAAUUAAAUGAUUUAAAAAUCAAUGAAAAUCGAAUGAGAGAAAUGGAAGAUAGAUGGACAAGGGUAAUGAACUAUAUUAUGAAUCAUUCUGGAGAUCAGGUCAUAAGAAAUAAGAUACAAAUGCUAUAUAGCAUACAGGA
Non-coding RNA from Anolis sagrei ordinatus, 689 nucleotides. The record is from RefSeq and is a predicted model, not a curated record. Lineage: Eukaryota; Metazoa; Chordata; Lepidosauria; Squamata; Anolidae.